This 526-nucleotide ribosomal RNA is filed under the name uncultured bacterium. RNAcentral describes it as "bacterial SSU rRNA". It matches the Rfam family "Bacterial small subunit ribosomal RNA", at positions 774 to 1296 of the family's 1533-position model. The record is from RNAcentral.
AGAAAAUAGAUACCCUGGUAGCCACGCCGUAAACGAUGGGCACUAGAUGCUUGGGGGAGCGACCCUCUGAGUGUCGUCGCUAACGCAUUAAGUGCCCCGCCUGGGGAGUACGGCCGCAAGGCUGAAACUCAAAGGAAUUGACGGGGGCCCGCACAAGCGGUGGAGCAUGUGGUUUAAUUCGACGCAACGCGAAGAACCUUACCUAGGCUUGACAUGCAUGGGAAAGCCCUGAGAAACCCAGGGCCCCUCUUCGGAGUCCAUGCACAGGUGCUGCAUGGCUGUCGUCAGCUCGUGUCGUGAGAUGUUGGGUUAAGUCCCGCAACGAGCGCAACCCCCGUUUCUAGUUGCCAGCGAGUAAAGUCGGGGACUCUAGAAAGACUGCCGGUGCCAAACCGGAGGAAGGUGGGGAUGACGUCAAGUCAUCAUGGUCUUUACGUCUAGGGCUACACACGUGCUACAAUGGCCGGUACAGCGGGUUGCGAGCUAGCGAUAGCAAGCCAAUCCCUUAAAGCCGGCCUCAGUGCGG